RNAcentral lists this ribosomal RNA (255 nucleotides) under Salmonella enterica subsp. enterica serovar Muenster. RNAcentral describes it as "partial 16S ribosomal RNA". It matches the Rfam family "Bacterial small subunit ribosomal RNA", at positions 56 to 307 of the family's 1533-position model. Lineage: Bacteria; Pseudomonadati; Pseudomonadota; Gammaproteobacteria; Enterobacterales; Enterobacteriaceae. The record is from RNAcentral.
UGCAAGUCGAACGGUAACAGGAAGCAGCUUGCUGCUUUGCUGACGAGUGGCGGACGGGUGAGUAAUGUCUGGGAAACUGCCUGAUGGAGGGGGAUAACUACUGGAAACGGUGGCUAAUACCGCAUAACGUCGCAAGACCAAAGAGGGGGACCUUCGGGCCUCUUGCCAUCAGAUGUGCCCAGAUGGGAUUAGCUUGUUGGUGAGGUAACGGCUCACCAAGGCGACGAUCCCUAGCUGGUCUGAGAGGAUGACCAG